Molecule: ribosomal RNA, 371 nt
Filed under: uncultured bacterium
Lineage: Bacteria
Description: bacterial SSU rRNA
Rfam family: Bacterial small subunit ribosomal RNA
Source: RNAcentral
GGGGGGGGCAAGCGUUGUUCGGAAUUACUGGGCGUAAAGGGCUCGUAGGCGGCCAACUAAGUCAGACGUGAAAUCCCUCGGCUUAACCGGGGAACUGCGUCUGAUACUGGAUGGCUAGAGUUUGGGAGAGGGAUGCGGAAUUCCAGGUGUAGCGGUGAAAUGCGUAGAUAUCUGGAGGAACACCGGUGGCGAAGGCGGCAUCCUGGACCAACACUGACGCUGAGGAGCGAAAGCCAGGGGAGCAAACGGGAUUAGAUACCCCGGUAGUCCUGGCCCUAAACGAUGAAUGCUUGGUGUGGCGGGUAUCGAUCCCUGCCGUGCCGAAGCUAACGCAUUAAGCAUUCCGCCUGGGGAGUACGGUCGCAAGGCUG